GCCGAGAUAGCUCAGUCGGUAGAGCACGCGCAUGGUAAGCGCGAGGUCCAGAGUUCGAUCCUCUGUCUCGGCU
Molecule: transfer RNA, 73 nt
Filed under: Minisyncoccota bacterium
Lineage: Bacteria; Bacillati; Minisyncoccota
Description: tRNA-Thr
Rfam family: tRNA
About the family: Transfer RNA (tRNA) molecules are approximately 80 nucleotides in length. Their secondary structure includes four short double-helical elements and three loops (D, anti-codon, and T loops).
Source: RNAcentral